AUUGAACGCUGGCGGCAUGCCUUACACAUGCAAGUCGAACGGCAGCACGGGAGCAAUCCUGGUGGCGAGUGGCGAACGGGUGAGUAAUAUAUCGGAACGUGCCCAGUCGUGGGGAUAACGUAGCGAAAGCUACGCUAAUACCGCAUACGAUCUAAGGAUGAAAGCGGGGGAUCGCAAGACCUCGCGCGAUUGGAGCGGCCGAUAUCAGAUUAGCUAGUUGGUGAGGUAAAGGCUCACCAAGGCGACGAUCUGUAGCUGGUCUGAGAGGACGACCAGCCANACUGGGACUGAGACACGGCCCAGACUCCUACGGAGGCGAGCAGUGGGAAUUUUGG
This 335-nucleotide ribosomal RNA is filed under the name uncultured bacterium. Its description in RNAcentral is "bacterial SSU rRNA". It matches the Rfam family "Bacterial small subunit ribosomal RNA", at positions 30 to 367 of the family's 1533-position model. The record is from RNAcentral.